GCUGGGUGUGGUGGUGCACGCCUGUGGUUCCAGCUACUCAGGAGGCUGAGGUGGGAGGAUCCCUUGAACCCAGGAGUUCAAGGCUGCAGUGAGCCAUGCUCGUACCACUGCACUCCAGCCUGGGUGACAGAGCGAGACCCUGUCUCAA
Pongo abelii (Sumatran orangutan) is the source of this 148-nucleotide unclassified non-coding RNA. It matches the Rfam family "Metazoan signal recognition particle RNA". From Rfam's summary of the family: The signal recognition particle (SRP) is a universally conserved ribonucleoprotein. It is involved in the co-translational targeting of proteins to membranes. Lineage: Eukaryota; Metazoa; Chordata; Mammalia; Primates; Hominidae. The record is from Ensembl.